UUGAUUAGAUAAUUAGGUCUAGUUUCUUUUAUGCUAUAGGGCAUUUCACCUUCAGCCUUCAGCUAGUGGCUUCUCGGGACAAGUAUAAAUGCCUGGGCUUCUCCACCUGUGAUUUUUUUUCCCAAGUAUUCAUUGUGAACCCUGACAAAUUUUCUGGAUCCCUUUCAUUUCCUACCUGGCCUGAGGUAUGCUUUUUACCUCCAUGAAAAUGUCCAAAGAGAUUUUUUUUUUUUUUUUCUUUGGGAAAAGGAAGGGGCGGAAGCAGGAUGCGCAGUAGAAACAGAUUUCUGCUGCUGCAACUGCUUCCCUGCCAGCUGUGUCCUGCAGCUCCCGGCUCGCAGAUGCACUGCUGCAGCCCGGGCACAGCGUGUCCCUUGCGUCCAAGGUGCUUCUGCACCAUUUGAAGCUGAGAUUUAUUGCUCAGAGGGUGGACUCUGGUAUAAUCAGUGAUGAAUCAUCAGGGACACUGCUUGGAGAGCUACUUAUCUAGGAAUACUAUUCGGUGCCUGGGGAAUAGCGGAAGGAAAGAGUAAUUUUUCAAAAACUGCCAGAAACUGAAAUCUGGGAGAAGCCUGAUGCCAGCACACCAUUACAGAACUUACUGAAAUUGUGCUGUUUCUGAAAAUGUCUUCACUUGCAUUUUGAAGUGAAUGUUAUAUUCCCAUCUUUAAAGUAAGGUGCACAUCGUUCUUUGCAGCCAUGGUUGUGUUGAUCCUGGGGAAUAUUUUCCAGAAGCUUGUGGAUGCACUCACUAGUUUUGGUUGAUGGGAAUCAUGCUAGAAUUUGAAGAAAGGAAAAAACCCUUCCUGGAAAGUGAUAGUGCAAUGGUAUUUCCAUCUUGCUGGCACUUCAGCACCCACAAGCUAUCUAAAAUGACAGGAACCAAGGUCACCUAGCUCUGAACUGCUGCUCCGGGACUGUGGUCAGGAAAAGACAAAACCAGAGUAGACUACGAAGAUGGCUUCAAACAUUUAUCAUCUUAGAAAGGUCUUCCAGGAGAGCAUUAAAGCCUGGUCAACUUGGAAUAGCAGCAGAGGAAAAAGUUCUCAAUAUUUAUGUCCUUCUCUAAGGUUCUGAGGCUCUGGGGAUCACCAGCUCAACAGCUGCUGCUGCUGCUGUUACCCUCAAAUUGUUCAGUCAGUAAGUCAAGGAACACUGCAAUUUCAGCUGCCACAGCGAAGAAAUCCAGGAGUAAUAAAGGGGUCACUACUAUUAGCAAUUGUUCUGACAGCUGUAAAGUAAAUCAUACAGACAGCACUCUAGACAAGGUACAGCGCUCUAUUGGUGUCCUUGGAACACCCUGUGAAAUGAAGCACAGGGGUGGGAGGGAAGCAUCUGCCUGGUU
Molecule: long non-coding RNA, 1345 nt
Organism: Aquila chrysaetos chrysaetos
Lineage: Eukaryota; Metazoa; Chordata; Aves; Accipitriformes; Accipitridae
Exons: 6
Source: RefSeq, a predicted model, not a curated record